AGUGAACGCUGGCGGUAGGCCUAACACAUGCAAGUCGAACGGCAGCACAGUAAGAGCUUGCUCUUACGGGUGACGAGUGGCGGACGGGUGAGGAAUACAUCGGAAUCUACUUUUUCGUGGGGGAUAACGUAGGGAAACUUACGCUAAUACCGCAUACGACCUACGGGUGAAAGCAGGGGAUCUUCGGACCUUGCGCGAUUGAAUGAGCCGAUGUCGGAUUAGCUAGUUGGCGGGGUAAAGGCCCACCAAGGCGACGAUCCGUAGCUGGUCUGAGAGGAUGAUCAGCCACACUGGAACUGAGACACGGUCCAGACUCCUACGGGAGGCAGCAGUGGGGAAUAUUGGACAAUGGGCACAAGCCUGAUCCAGCCAUACCGCGUGGGUGAAGAAGGCCUUCGGGUUGUAAAGCCCUUUUGUUGGGAAAGAAAAGCAGCAGGUUAAUACCCCGCUGUUCUGACGGUACCCAAAGAAUAAGCACCGGCUAACUUCGUG
This 492-nucleotide ribosomal RNA is filed under the name uncultured bacterium. RNAcentral's name for it is "partial 16S ribosomal RNA". It matches the Rfam family "Bacterial small subunit ribosomal RNA", at positions 29 to 507 of the family's 1533-position model. The record is from RNAcentral.